AUGGAGCUGGGGUCACAGCAGGCAAAGAACAAGGAAGUAAACAACCGAGGGCAGUCUCGCUCUGUCGUCCGGGCUAAAGUACAGUGGUGCAAUCUCGGCUCAGUGCAACCCUCACCUCCCAGGUUCCAGAGAUUCUCAUAUUUCAGCCUCCCAAGUGGCUGGGAUUACAGGAAGUGUUGUCACCUGAUGGCUCAACAUAAACUGCCUGAGAUGGUGCCAGCUUUCGCGGGCAGCACUGGGCUUUGCUUGUGGCCAGGAGUCUCCUCUGCAGCUUCCUGAGCCUGGACAAAAGUCUUCCUGACAUGUUUAACUGUGACCAGUGCAAUUUUGGCUUUGACACUAUGCAAGAUUUUGGAACUUGAGAUAUGCUCUGUAAUGCCUACAAAGAACAAAAAGGAGCACUUAGGUUACAACAUGAAUUGUGUUUGGUUUACAUAAAGCAAGCAAAAAGGAGAAAGUCAUUAAAACAGCAUUUGUCAAGCCUGUAAUCCCAGCACUUUGGGAGGCCGAGGCGGGUGGAUCACGAGGUCAAGAGAUCGAGACCAUCCUGGACAACAUGGUGAAACCCCGUCUCUACUGAAAAUACAAAAAAAUUAGCUGGGCAUGGUGGCGCGUGCCUGUAAUCCCAGCUACUCAGGAGGCUGAGGCAGGAGAAUUGCCUGAACCCAGGAGGCAGAGGUUGUGGUGAGCCGAGAUCGCACCAUUGCACUCCAGCCUGGGUAACAAGAGCAAAACUCCGUCUCAAAAAAGAAAAAAAACCAGCAUUUGAUGUCUCUAAUAAACGAAGCCUAUUUAAAAAUGUGUAUGUACUUUUAAAAUGGCUCCAAAGUUGUGAAAUGAACAGACAGCAUCAUGAGCUGGUUCCUUGCAUUCCAGGGAAUACAGUUUGCCAGAUCCUUCAAGGGGAUACAUUAGGACACUCUGGGGUCUUGGUCUAAAUUGAUAUGAUUUUGAGAGUACCCGCUAUAGCCCUUCCAACAUCCCUGUAAAGCAGAUAUGAGAGUGCAUAAAAAGACGAAAACUAAAUUCACAUUCAUGAAACAAAUAAAUGCAAAACAAAGGCCAGCCCUUAAGCUGAGUUCAUCUGCUAACUCAAUUAGAGAAAUUUCCAUUCACUCCAAGGAAAAUGAAAAUGGAUGAAAGAGUAAAAUGAGUGAGCCGUGCUGGCUUUGUCAUUUGGAAGACAAACGGACACAGUGUCCACCCUCCAGAGCUGCCUUCGGCUCUGAAGUGGUGUCCACACCAGCCCGAGGUAGGGCAGCUACCCUUCCUGAGGGACCCUACCUCAUAGGCAUCGAAGGCUUUGCAGCCUGCUCACUUCCUUGUGUGUUAUUGCCCUUGUGCGUCUAUCCACAUUCAGAAACUACUUUUCCCUAUGGGCCAGGCUGGAACGAGAGGCAGUCUCUUCUGAAGGUGUGAUCGCCCAGGGUAGAAUCCUGUGGGCAGGAACAGAGAGCAAAGGGCUCGGCAGAUGAUUCAAGAGGCUUUUAGCUGUGAAGAAGAGAGAUUUCUGGGGGGCAAAUCAAUUCACCUCCUGGCUGGUUCUCUGAGCCUGUGGGGCCCUAGCCAGAGGACUCGUGGAACGGGCCUCAGAGCAUGGUGGGCCUGGGCGCUGUGCACCUCCUGACCCUGAGAGGCACUCCCAGCCGAGCCCAGAGAAAGAAUAAGUCGAAGCAUGCACAGGUCUCCGAGGCAUGAAGUCCAGUACAUGGAGAGAAGAGGGAGGUGGCAGGUGCAGACAUAUGCUCACACCCAUUUCCAUACAUGUGCUGGAUGUUACUUGGAACAGAAUUGUAAGGAGUUGUUGCUAGUUGGGAUGUGAAGAAGGAGGUAGAGGAAUCAAUGUCUGUGAUCCAGGAGGUGCCUCCUGCUUUGUUAGUUUCUCUCUCACCCCCUUGCUCUCCCUCCACCCUCCUCCUCCCCUUUCCUCUUUCUCUUCAUCUCCCCCUCUCUCUCCUUCCUUCUCUUCAAAGAUAAAGGUGUUCUUAUCCACAUUCCCCAGAUCCGCUCCUCUUUCCCAUCUGAUCCUCUCUGGCUUUCACUCUGCGUUCACGCUUCCUUGACUGAUAUUAACUCCAUGCUAAUUUCCACUCAAAUUACCACUGCAGAGUAAUUCUCUUCUCUCCAUCUCUUUCCAACUACUUUCUCAGGAAGGUAUAUUAAUUAGUCAUUGACCAGCCAAUGGACUGAAGAAACUUGGAGCCAGUUCCCAGCCCUGGUCAAAUCAACCAUGGCCUGGCUGGGUCAUAGGACUAAGUCACAGACACGAUGCCUUUACAGAACGGGGGAUGACGCAUUUCUCUAAAGUCGAUUAAGCUGAUCAAAAACAUGCAGACAAAGUUGUGUGCUGAGGACCAGAAUUAUUCAUCAUUCCACAACUUUCACAGGUCCAGGUUGGAAUGACAGGCUGCCUUGUCAUACAGAGGCAUACCCCUCAGAUCAGGACUCCCCAACCCCUAGACCACAGACUGGCACUGGUCAAUGGUCUGUUAGGAACUGAGCCACACAGCAGGAGGUGACAGCAGGCAAGUGAGCAUUACUGCUGAUUUUCACCUCCUGUCAGAUCCCCUGGGGCAUUAGAUUCUCACAGGAGCACAAACUGUGUUGUGAACUGAGCAUGCAAGGGACCCAGGUUAUGAGCUCCUUAUGAGACUCUAGCUAAUGCCUGAUGAUCUAAGGUGGAACAGUCUCAUCCCAAAACCAUCCCCCCACCACUGACCACAAAACCAGUCCCUGAUGCUUCCCAAAUGUUUGAGGACUGAUGCCUUAGAUGAUGAGGCUAGAGAAAGCCCCUGAGGCUCUGUCCUCUGCCCAGUUGACAUUCGUGAGACAAGAUAAGAGGAGGAGAUCCUCAAGGGGCACAGGAUGAGAACACACCACCCACACACUAUUCUUGGAAUAUACUUGGAAGUAGACAAUAACAAGAGCAAGGGCACAGAAAAUUAGGAAGAGAGUCAGGAAAAUAUCUCUGAAAACACGAUGCAUAUGC
Molecule: long non-coding RNA, 2989 nt
Organism: Callithrix jacchus (white-tufted-ear marmoset)
Lineage: Eukaryota; Metazoa; Chordata; Mammalia; Primates; Cebidae
Source: Ensembl